AUAUCAAUAAGCGGAGGAAAAGAAACCAACAGGGAUUGCCCCAGUAACGGCGAGUGAAGCGGCAACAGCUCAAAUUUGAAAUCUGGCCCCCCCCGCGGGGCCCGAGUUGUAAUUUGCAGAGGAUGCUUUUGGCGCGGCGCCUUCCGAGUUCCCUGGAACGGGACGCCAUAGAGGGUGAGAGCCCCGUCUGGUCGGACGCCCAGCCACUGUAAAGCUCCUUCGACGAGUCGAGUAGUUUGGGAAUGCUGCUCUAAAUGGGAGGUAUAUGUCUUCUAAAGCUAAAUACUGGCCAGAGACCGAUAGCGCACAAGUAGAGUGAUCGAAAGAUGAAAAGCACUUUGAAAAGAGGGUUAAACAGUACGUGAAAUUGUUGAAAGGGAAGCGCUUGUGACCAGACUUGGGCGCGGCGAAUCAUCCGGCGUUCUCGCCGGUGCACUUCGCCGCGCCCGGGCCAGCAUCAGUUCGCCGCGGGGGACAAAGGCGCCGGGAACGUGGCUCCCCCGGGAGUGUUAUAGCCCGGCGCGCAAUGCCCCGCGGCGGACUGAGGUUCGCGCAUCCGCAAGGAUGCUGGCGUAAUGGUCACCAGCGACCCGUCUUGAAACACGGACCAAGGAGUCGUCUUCGUAUGCGAGUGUUCGGGUGUCAAACCCCUACGCGUAAUGAAAGUGAACGCAGGUGAGAGCCUCACGGCGCAUCAUCGACCGAUCCUGAUGUUCUCGGAUGGAUUUGAGUAAGAGCAUACGGGGCCGGACCCGAAAGAAGGUGAACUAUGCCUGUGUAGGGUGAAGCCAGAGGAAACUCUGGUGGAGGCUCGCAGCGGUUCUGACGUGCAAAUCGAUCGUCAAACAUGGGCAUGGGGGCGAAAGACUAAUCGAACCUUCUAGUAGCUGGUUUC
RNAcentral lists this ribosomal RNA (895 nucleotides) under Ophiocordyceps furcatosubulata. RNAcentral's name for it is "partial 28S ribosomal RNA". It matches the Rfam family "Eukaryotic large subunit ribosomal RNA", at positions 40 to 958 of the family's 3401-position model. Lineage: Eukaryota; Fungi; Ascomycota; Sordariomycetes; Hypocreales; Ophiocordycipitaceae. The record is from RNAcentral.